RNAcentral lists this ribosomal RNA (2103 nucleotides) under Klebsiella pneumoniae. Its description in RNAcentral is "bacterial LSU rRNA". It matches the Rfam family "Bacterial large subunit ribosomal RNA", at positions 105 to 2236 of the family's 2925-position model. Lineage: Bacteria; Pseudomonadati; Pseudomonadota; Gammaproteobacteria; Enterobacterales; Enterobacteriaceae. The record is from RNAcentral.
CGGCGAUGUCCGAAUGGGGAAACCCAGUGCAAUUCGUUGCACUAUCGUUAACUGAAUACAUAGGUUAACGAGGCGAACCGGGGGAACUGAAACAUCUAAGUACCCCGAGGAAAAGAAAUCAACCGAGAUUCCCCCAGUAGCGGCGAGCGAACGGGGAGCAGCCCAGAGUCUGAAUCAGCUUGUGUGUUAGUGGAACGGUCUGGAAAGUCCGACGGUACAGGGUGAUAGUCCCGUACACCAAAAUGCACAGGCUGUGAACUCGAAGAGUAGGGCGGGACACGUGGUAUCCUGUCUGAAUAUGGGGGGACCAUCCUCCAAGGCUAAAUACUCCUGACUGACCGAUAGUGAACCAGUACCGUGAGGGAAAGGCGAAAAGAACCCCGGCGAGGGGAGUGAAAAAGAACCUGAAACCGUGUACGUACAAGCAGUGGGAGCACCUUCGGGUGUGACUGCGUACCUUUUGUAUAAUGGGUCAGCGACUUAUAUUCUGUAGCAAGGUUAACCGUAUAGGGGAGCCGCAGGGAAACCGAGUCUUAACUGGGCGUUAAGUUGCAGGGUAUAGACCCGAAACCCGGUGAUCUAGCCAUGGGCAGGUUGAAGGUUGGGUAACACUAACUGGAGGACCGAACCGACUAAUGUUGAAAAAUUAGCGGAUGACUUGUGGCUGGGGGUGAAAGGCCAAUCAAACCGGGAGAUAGCUGGUUCUCCCCGAAAGCUAUUUAGGUAGCGCCUCGUGAACUCAUCUUCGGGGGUAGAGCACUGUUUCGGCUAGGGGGUCAUCCCGACUUACCAACCCGAUGCAAACUACGAAUACCGAAGAAUGUUAUCACGGGAGACACACGGCGGGUGCUAACGUCCGUCGUGAAGAGGGAAACAACCCAGACCGCCAGCUAAGGUCCCAAAGUCAUGGUUAAGUGGGAAACGAUGUGGGAAGGCACAGACAGCCAGGAUGUUGGCUUAGAAGCAGCCAUCAUUUAAAGAAAGCGUAAUAGCUCACUGGUCGAGUCGGCCUGCGCGGAAGAUGUAACGGGGCUAAACCAUGCACCGAAGCUGCGGCAGCGACACUAUGUGUUGUUGGGUAGGGGAGCGUUCUGUAAGCCUGCGAAGGUGUGCUGUGAGGCAUGCUGGAGGUAUCAGAAGUGCGAAUGCUGACAUAAGUAACGAUAAAGCGGGUGAAAAGCCCGCUCGCCGGAAGACCAAGGGUUCCUGUCCAACGUUAAUCGGGGCAGGGUGAGUCGACCCCUAAGGCGAGGCCGAAAGGCGUAGUCGAUGGGAAACAGGUUAAUAUUCCUGUACUUGGUGUUACUGCGAAGGGGGGACGGAGAAGGCUAUGUUAGCCGGGCGACGGUUGUCCCGGUUUAAGCAUGUAGGCUGGUUGUCCAGGCAAAUCCGGAUAAUCAAGGCUGAGGUGUGAUGACGAGGCACUACGGUGCUGAAGUAACAAAUGCCCUGCUUCCAGGAAAAGCCUCUAAGCAUCAGGUAACAUCAAAUCGUACCCCAAACCGACACAGGUGGUCAGGUAGAGAAUACCAAGGCGCUUGAGAGAACUCGGGUGAAGGAACUAGGCAAAAUGGUGCCGUAACUUCGGGAGAAGGCACGCUGGUGUGUAGGUGAAGUCCCUGCGGAUGGAGCUGAGACCAGUCGAAGAUACCAGCUGGCUGCAACUGUUUAUUAAAAACACAGCACUGUGCAAACACGAAAGUGGACGUAUACGGUGUGACGCCUGCCCGGUGCCGGAAGGUUAAUUGAUGGGGUUAUCCGUAAGGAGAAGCUCUUGAUCGAAGCCCCGGUAAACGGCGGCCGUAACUAUAACGGUCCUAAGGUAGCGAAAUUCCUUGUCGGGUAAGUUCCGACCUGCACGAAUGGCGUAAUGAUGGCCAGGCUGUCUCCACCCGAGACUCAGUGAAAUUGAACUCGCUGUGAAGAUGCAGUGUACCCGCGGCAAGACGGAAAGACCCCGUGAACCUUUACUAUAGCUUGACACUGAACAUUGAGCCUUGAUGUGUAGGAUAGGUGGGAGGCUUUGAAGCGUGGACGCCAGUCUGCGUGGAGCCAACCUUGAAAUACCACCCUUUAAUGUUUGAUGUUCUAACGUUGGCCCCU